Molecule: ribosomal RNA, 221 nt
Filed under: uncultured bacterium
Lineage: Bacteria
Description: partial 16S ribosomal RNA
Rfam family: Bacterial small subunit ribosomal RNA
Source: RNAcentral
UACGUAAGAGACUAGUGUUAUUCAUCAUUAAUAGGUUUAAAGGGUACUCAGACGGUAAAAUUCGCCUAACAAGGGACAAUUUUUCUAGAGUUUUAUAUAAGGAGGUCGUACUCAUGAGUGGAGAGAUGAAAUUUGUUGAUACCUUGGGGACUGGUAAAGGCGAAGGCAACCUUUUAUGUAAAAACUGACGUCGAAGGACGAAGGCAUAGGGCACGAACAGG